Non-coding RNA from Podarcis lilfordi (Lilford's wall lizard), 72 nucleotides. The record is from the annotation of a GenBank genome assembly. Lineage: Eukaryota; Metazoa; Chordata; Lepidosauria; Squamata; Lacertidae.
CCCAAAAUAGCUCAGUAGGUAAAGCAAGAGACUCUUAAUCUCGGGGUUGUGGGUUCAAGCCCCACAUUGGGG